RNAcentral lists this ribosomal RNA (486 nucleotides) under uncultured bacterium. RNAcentral describes it as "partial 16S ribosomal RNA". It matches the Rfam family "Bacterial small subunit ribosomal RNA", at positions 29 to 507 of the family's 1533-position model. The record is from RNAcentral.
AUUGAACGCUGGCGGCAUGCUUUACACAUGCAAGUCGAGCGGCAGCGCGGGGGCAACCCUGGCGGCGAGCGGCGAACGGGUGAGUAAUGCAUCGGAACGUAUCCUCGAGUGGGGGAUAACCCAGCGAAAGUUGGGCUAAUACCGCAUGAGCUCUGAGGAGGAAAGCGGGGGACCUGCGAGGGCCUCGCGCUGGAGGAGCGGCCGAUGUCCGAUUAGCUAGUUGGUGGGGUAAAGGCUUACCAAGGCGACGAUCGGUAGCUGGUCUGAGAGGAUGAUCAGCCACACUGGGACUGAGACACGGCCCAGACUCCUACGGGAGGCAGCAGUGGGGAAUUUUGGACAAUGGGGGCAACCCUGAUCCAGCCAUGCCGCGUGAGUGAAGAAGGCCUUCGGGUUGUAAAGCUCUUUCGGACGGAACGAAAUGGGCGGGACUAAUACUCCUGUCUGAUGACGUUACCGUAAGAAGAAGCACCGGCUAACUACGUG